RNAcentral lists this ribosomal RNA (301 nucleotides) under uncultured bacterium. Its description in RNAcentral is "partial 16S ribosomal RNA". It matches the Rfam family "Bacterial small subunit ribosomal RNA", at positions 509 to 809 of the family's 1533-position model. The record is from RNAcentral.
CAGUAGCCGCGGUAAAACGUAGGUGGCAAGCGUUGUCCGGAAUUAUUGGGCGUAAAGGGCUCGCAGGCGGUUUCUUAAGUCUGAUGUGAAAGCCCCCGGCUCAACCGGGGAGGGUCAUUGGAAACUGGGAAACUUGAGUGCAGAAGAGGAGAGAGGAAUUCCACGUGUAGCGGUGAAAUGCGUAGAUAUUCGGAAGAACACCAGUGGCGAAGGCGGCUCACUGGCUCAUACUGGACGCUGAGGUGCGAAAGCGUGGGGAGCAAACAGGAUUAGAUACCCGGGUAGUCCCUGUCUCUUAUAA